RNAcentral lists this transfer RNA (74 nucleotides) under Deltaproteobacteria bacterium. RNAcentral describes it as "tRNA-Leu". It matches the Rfam family "tRNA". Rfam says of the family: Transfer RNA (tRNA) molecules are approximately 80 nucleotides in length. Lineage: Bacteria; Pseudomonadati; Myxococcota; Myxococcia. The record is from RNAcentral. RNAcentral also lists the same sequence under 1 other name.
GCCGCCGUAGACCAACGGUAGGAGUCAACGUUCUCAGAAAGCGUGCAGUGGUGGUUCGAAUCCACUCGGCGGCA